UACGAAGGGGGCUAGCGUUGUUCGGAAUCACUGGGCGUAAAGCGCACGUAGGCGGAUCUUUAAGUCAGGGGUGAAAUCCCGGAGCUCAACUCCGGAACUGCCUUUGAUACUGGGGAUCUCGAGUCCGGGAGAGGUGAGUGGAACUGCGAGUGUAGAGGUGAAAUUCGUAGAUAUUCGCAAGAACACCAGUGGCGAAGGCGGCUCACGGGCCCGGAAAUGACGAUGAGGUGCGAAAGCGUGGGGAGCAAACAGG
This 253-nucleotide ribosomal RNA is filed under the name uncultured bacterium. RNAcentral describes it as "partial 16S ribosomal RNA". It matches the Rfam family "Bacterial small subunit ribosomal RNA", at positions 524 to 776 of the family's 1533-position model. The record is from RNAcentral.